RNAcentral lists this ribosomal RNA (301 nucleotides) under uncultured bacterium. Its description in RNAcentral is "partial 16S ribosomal RNA". It matches the Rfam family "Bacterial small subunit ribosomal RNA", at positions 509 to 807 of the family's 1533-position model. The record is from RNAcentral.
CAGCCGCCGCGGGAAUACGUAGGGUGCAAGCGUUAAUCGGAAUUACUGGGCGUAAAGCGUGCGCAGGCGGUCCGCUAAGACAGAUGUGAAAUCCCCGGGCUUAACCUGGGAACUGCAUUUGUGACUGGCGGGCUAGAGUAUGGCAGAGGGGGGUAGAAUUCCACGUGUAGCAGUGAAAUGCGUAGAUAUGCGGAGGAACACCGAUGGCGAAGGCAAUCCCCUGGACCUGUACUGACGCUCAUGCACGAAAGCGUGGGGAGCAAACAGGAUUAGAUACCCGCGUAGUCCCUGUCUCUUAUAC